RNAcentral lists this non-coding RNA (28 nucleotides) under Mus musculus (house mouse). Lineage: Eukaryota; Metazoa; Chordata; Mammalia; Rodentia; Muridae. The record is from RNAcentral.
UGAUCAGUCAGGUCCUUUCUGGUUCCGG